RNAcentral lists this ribosomal RNA (1190 nucleotides) under metagenome. RNAcentral describes it as "bacterial SSU rRNA". It matches the Rfam family "Bacterial small subunit ribosomal RNA", at positions 338 to 1520 of the family's 1533-position model. The record is from RNAcentral.
CCUACGGGAGGCAGCAGUGGGGAAUUUUGGACAAUGGGGGCAACCCUGAUCCAGCCAUGCCGCGUGAGUGAAGAAGGCCUUCGGGUUGUAAAGCUCUUUCGGCCGGGAAGAAAUCGCAUGGGCCAAUACCCUGUGUGGAUGACGGUACCGGAAUAAGAAGCACCGGCUAACUACGUGCCAGCAGCCGCGGUAAUACGUAGGGUGCGAGCGUUAAUCGGAAUUACUGGGCGUAAAGCGUGCGCAGGCGGUUUUGUAAGACAGGCGUGAAAUCCCCGGGCUCAACCUGGGAACUGCGUUUGUGACUGCAAGGCUAGAGUACGGCAGAGGGGGGUGGAAUUCCACGUGUAGCAGUGAAAUGCGUAGAGAUGUGGAGGAACACCAAUGGCGAAGGCAGCCCCCUGGGUCGAUACUGACGCUCAUGCACGAAAGCGUGGGUAGCAAACAGGAUUAGAUACCCUGGUAGUCCACGCCCUAAACUAUGUCAACUAGGUGUUGGGUGGGUAAAACCAUUUAGUACCGUAGCUAACGCGUGAAGUUGACCGCCUGGGGAGUACGGCCGCAAGGUUAAAACUCAAAGGAAUUGACGGGGACCCGCACAAGCGGUGGAUGAUGUGGAUUAAUUCGAUGCAACGCGAAAAACCUUACCUACCCUUGACAUGCCAGGAACUUGCCAGAGAUGGCUUGGUGCCCGAAAGGGAGCCUGGACACAGGUGCUGCAUGGCUGUCGUCAGCUCGUGUCGUGAGAUGUUGGGUUAAGUCCCGCAACGAGCGCAACCCUUGUCGUUAAUUGCCAUCAUUAGUUGGGCACUUUAGCGAGACUGCCGGUGACAAACCGGAGGAAGGUGGGGAUGACGUCAAGUCCUCAUGGCCCUUAUGGGUAGGGCUUCACACGUCAUACAAUGGUCGGUACAAAGGGUCGCCAAGCCGCGAGGUGGAGCCAAUCCCAGAAAGCCGAUCGUAGUCCGGAUUGCAGGCUGCAACUCGCCUGCAUGAAGUCGGAAUCGCUAGUAAUCGUGGAUCAGCAUGUCACGGUGAAUACGUUCCCGGGUCUUGUACACACCGCCCGUCACACCAUGGGAGCGGGUUCCGCCAGAAGUAGGUAGCCUAACCGCAAGGAGGGCGCUUACCACGGCGGGGUUCGUGACUGGGGUGAAGUCGUAACAAGGUAGCCGUAGGGGAACCUGCGGCUG